CCUACGGGAGACAGCAGUGAGGAAUAUUGGUCAAUGGACGAGAGUCUGAACCAGCCAAGUAGCGUGAAGGAUGACUGCCCUAUGGGUUGUAAACUUCUUUUAUAUGGGAAUAAAAUGUUCCACGUGUGGGAUUUUGUAUGUACCAUAUGAAUAAGGAUCGGCUAACUCCGUGCCAGCAGCCGCGGUAAUACGGAGGAUCCGAGCGUUAUCCGGAUUUAUUGGGUUUAAGGGGAGCGUAGGUGGAUUGUUAAGUCAGUUGUGAAAGUUUGCGGCUCAACCGUAAAAUUGCAGUUGAAACUGGCAGUCUUGAGUACAGUAGAGGUGGGCGGAAUGCGUGGUGUAGCGGUGAAAUGCUUAGAUAUCACGAAGAACUCCGAUUGCGAAGGCAGUUCACUGGACUGCAACUGACACUGAGGCUCGAAAGUGUGGGUAUCAAACAGGAUUAGAUACCCUUGUAGUC
Molecule: ribosomal RNA, 460 nt
Filed under: uncultured bacterium
Lineage: Bacteria
Description: partial 16S ribosomal RNA
Rfam family: Bacterial small subunit ribosomal RNA
Source: RNAcentral